This 253-nucleotide ribosomal RNA is filed under the name uncultured bacterium. RNAcentral's name for it is "partial 16S ribosomal RNA". It matches the Rfam family "Bacterial small subunit ribosomal RNA", at positions 524 to 776 of the family's 1533-position model. The record is from RNAcentral.
UACGUAGGUGGCAAGCGUUGUCCGGAAUUAUUGGGCGUAAAGAGCUCGUAGGCGGUUUGUCGCGUCUGCUGUGAAAUCUGGGGGCUCAACCCCCAGCCUGCAGUGGGUACGGGCAGACUAGAGUGCGGUAGGGGAGAUUGGAAUUCCUGGUGUAGCGGUGGAAUGCGCAGAUAUCAGGAGGAACACCGAUGGCGAAGGCAGGUCUCUGGGCCACUACUGACGCUGAGAAGCGAAAGCAUGGGGAGCGAACAGG